This 209-nucleotide ribosomal RNA is filed under the name uncultured Latescibacterota bacterium. Its description in RNAcentral is "uncultured Latescibacteria bacterium partial 16S ribosomal RNA". It matches the Rfam family "Bacterial small subunit ribosomal RNA", at positions 568 to 775 of the family's 1533-position model. Lineage: Bacteria; Pseudomonadati; Candidatus Latescibacterota. The record is from RNAcentral.
CGUGUAGGCGGUCAGGUAAGUGGAAUGUGAAAUGCCCCGGCUCACCCGGGGGACCGGCAUCCCAAACUGCCUGGCUUGAGUAUGGGAGAGGAUGGAGGAAUUCCUGGUGUAGCGGUGAAAUGCGUAGAUAUCAGGAGGAACACCGGUGGCGAAGGCGUCCAUCUGGCCCAAUACUGACGCUGAGGCGCGAAAGCUAGGGGAGCAAACGG